This 628-nucleotide transfer RNA is filed under the name uncultured cyanobacterium. RNAcentral's name for it is "partial miscellaneous RNA". The stretch from base 253 to 325 matches the Rfam family "tRNA". The record is from RNAcentral. Lineage: Bacteria; Bacillati; Cyanobacteriota.
CAGGGAGACAACAAAUGAUUGUGAUGUCUAGGUAAAUUUAUUCCUAGGCCAUAGUCCUGUCACCUUAGGUCGAUCGGUACCUCAGAUUUAUGAAUUAAUUUUUUUAUAAUUAAUACAUUUAUUUCAGUUCCUAAACUUGUCUAGGUCACACUCAACAAGGGUUUCUCCUGGGCCAUUAGCUCAGGUGGUUAGAGCGCACCCCUGAUAAGGGUGAGGUCCCUGGUUCAAGUCCAGGAUGGCCCAUUCGUUGUUGGGGGUAUAGCUCAGUUGGUAGAGCGCCUGCUUUGCAAGCAGGAUGUCAGCGGUUCGAGUCCGCUUACCUCCACUGAAAACUACCCUGAUAACUUAAUUUCAGGAGAAAAAUUAUUAAUUGUGAUCUAGAUUUGUCUAUUUGAAAUGAACCUAGCUUCUUAUCAUCUAUAAAGUUGAUAUGAUGCUGGGCUCACAAAGGGUUCAUCCCCUUUAGUGAUUUCAGUAGAACCUUGACAACUGCAUAGGUGGAAAGAAUAAAGCAUCUCAUGGAUGCAUAAUUCUUAAUCGAAAAGUCAAAGCGACUUUUUGCGAUUAAGAAUUCAUGUUUAAUUCUUGAGUAAAAGCCGAGCACAAUUAAUUUUGUGAUUGUAUUUAA